UACGUAGGGUGCAAGCGUUAAUCGGAAUUACUGGGCGUAAAGCGUGCGCAGGUGGCUUUGCAAGACAGAUGUGAAAUCCCCGGGCUUAACCUGGGAACUGCAUUUGUGACUGCAUUGCUGGAGUGCGGCAGAGGGGGAUGGAAUUCCGCGUGUAGCAGUGAAAUGCGUAGAUAUGCGGAGGAACACCGAUGGCGAAGGCAAUCCCCUGGGCCUGCACUGACGCUCAUGCACGAAAGCGUGGGGAGCGAACAGG
Molecule: ribosomal RNA, 253 nt
Filed under: uncultured bacterium
Lineage: Bacteria
Description: partial 16S ribosomal RNA
Rfam family: Bacterial small subunit ribosomal RNA
Source: RNAcentral